GAUGAACGCUGGCGGCGUGCCUAAUACAUGCAAGUCGAGCGAACAGACGAGGAGCUUGCUCCUCUGACGUUAGCGGCGGACGGGUGAGUAACACGUGGAUAACCUACCUAUAAGACUGGGAUAACUUCGGGAAACCGGAGCUAAUACCGGAUAAUAUAUUGAACCGCAUGGUUCAAUAGUGAAAGACGGUUUUGCUGUCACUUAUAGAUGGAUCCGCGCCGCAUUAGCUAGUUGGUAAGGUAACGGCUUACCAAGGCAACGAUGCGUAGCCGACCUGAGAGGGUGGCCGGCCCACCUGGAACUAGACCAGGGCACAGCCCCCCAGGGGGGGCGGCGUGGGGAAUUUUUCCCAAUGGGGGGAAAGCUUAACGGGGCAACCCGCGGUGGGGGAGAAGGUCUUGCGGUUCUAAAACCCUUUUAUUUGGGAAAAAAAAAAUUUGUAAAAAACUUUGCACGUUUGGGCGGACCCAAAUCAAAAACCCCCGCCAACUUCCUG
Molecule: ribosomal RNA, 496 nt
Filed under: uncultured bacterium
Lineage: Bacteria
Description: partial 16S ribosomal RNA
Rfam family: Bacterial small subunit ribosomal RNA
Source: RNAcentral